This is a long non-coding RNA of Apis cerana (Asiatic honeybee), 6662 nucleotides long. RefSeq lists it as uncharacterized. Lineage: Eukaryota; Metazoa; Arthropoda; Insecta; Hymenoptera; Apidae. The record is from RefSeq and is a predicted model, not a curated record.
UGCUAAAAAACAAAUUAUAAAUUAUAUUAUAAUAGUUUUUUAUAAUAUUUGUGAAUAAUUCUAUUUCUUUUUUUCUUCUUUUUCAACAUAUUAAAAUAUUUUUUCGCCUAAUGUACUUAUAUAUUUCAUAUCAGGAAGAUAAAUGAUUUUGAUUUAAAUGUAAUGUAGGAAUUGCUCUUUUUUAGCGUAAAUUAUUUAUAUUAAUAAUAAAUAUAAAUUUUAAAAUUAUUAAAAAAUAUUAAUCAAAAAUGUUAAUUAUUAAAUAAAUCUUUUGUUAGUUAUAUAUAUAUUAAAAUUGAAUAUAUAUUAAAAAUAAAUUUAAAAUUUUUAUAUUAGAUAUUUUGAAUAGUAUUUAAUAAAUUCAAAUAUGAUAAUGUUUAGGGCUUGUAAUACUAGCAGACAUUGAAUGCGCUAAAAAUAAGGAACUUAUGGAUGAUAAUUCGUAAAGAUGCUUGUUGGCAUUCUAUCGUUUUCUAAAUAUAUAGUACACACAUUUUUCGCAGUCGAUUUCUUCAUCAUCCUUGUUAAACUUGUUGAUAUCAUAAUUAUGUGUUCUUAUAACUACUAUUUAAAAUUCAGAUAAAAAUUCCAUUUAAUAUCAAACUAUAAUCAUAUACAGACUAACAUUAUAUUGACAUUAUAUUAGAUUUUAUAUUUAAUGAUUUUGUAUUUAAAUAACAUAUAUUUUUAUAUAUGUAUGUAAAAUUAUUUAUCAAAUUUUAAUUAUUAUAACAUCAAUCAAUGUUUAUAUCUUUUACAAUUAAGAAAAAUAUGUAAUAUAUAUGUAAAUUUAAAUAUCAGUAAAAUAUUUCAUUAAAUAAAGUGCGGAAGCAAUAAUUAUGCGAAAACUUGAUUAUUCCGUUUUCGAAUAGCGAGCGGUAUUACGUGUAUUACGAUUGGUUGGGGCAUUGCUUGGAUCAGCCAAUCGAAAACUGCGACACAAACAGGAGCAUCGCCUUUUCUUUUUGUUGACGCAAUGGUGUCGCUAAAUUUAGUAACGCGCGUACUUCAUACUCGGCCUGGAUCAUUCGAACGCUUUCGCACGUAUUCCUAUUUCAUUCUCGGCAAGAGCGAUCGAAGGUCAUCGGAAAUAAAUUUGGAAUACGUGAUCUAAAUCCUCGUCCAUUAAUGCUUGUUUCUGGCAACCGAAUUAAUUUCUUCGUAAUUGCAUAGUUUGGUUAGUCACUGAACGUAUUUCUAUAUAGUAAUUGAAUUGAUCGUUGAAACUUAAUGAGUGUUGAUAUAUUAUUCAAGUUACUAUUAAAAAUUAUGAUUAAAUAUUACAAGAAAAUAAUUACACGUUUGACGGAUUUUCAAAUUUAUAGAAAUAUUCAAAAAGAUAAAAAAAUGUAUAUAAUUAUAUAAAAAAAUAAAAAUUCUUAAAAUAUAUAAUGAUUUUAUAUUUUAUAUUUAAUUAUUUUAAUUAUAUUAAUAUUGUAUAUUUUAUAAUAUUGAAUAUUACAAAUAUUAUUAGGAAACAAUACUUUAUAUUCAAAUUUUUUUCAUAAUUUAGAAUAUUUGGCGCGAUUUUUGUUAUAGGGUAAUUGCUGCCAACAUUAAAUUUUAGCUCCAUAUUUAACAAAAAAAAUUAUUAUAAAAAAAUCGAAAAUUUAUUAUUUAAUUUUUAAUAAUCAAUUGUUUUCUUUUUAAUAUCGAAAAAUAAGAAUAAUAUAAUGUAUAUUAAUAUUUAAUAAUAACUUUUUUCCAUUUAAAAAAUUUGAUAUAUUACUAAUAUGAAUGUUUGUUUUUUAAACAUUGGUACACCUGAAUUUGAAAUAGUUGCUUAAACGUUCGGUUGAAAAAGUGAAGUGCGAUUUGUUAUAAUGUAUUAAAUUAAAUUUUUAAUAAUUAAGUGAAACAAAUUCUUAAUAAUUAAGUGAAACAAGUGUACAAAAUGAAUUACAUCUAUUAAAAGGUGUCUCUGGGGGCUACAUUGAUGAAAUCAUUCUUCCAAUAUUCAGGAUUUCAUCAGGAACAAAAUACCUACAAGGCGAUGCUGAUCGUUGCACGCCGAUCAAUCUUUAUAAACGAACGAAGCCGAUGAAGUUGAGAAAGUUCCUGAAAUUGCGGAAUUGCGGAUGAUAAAUAGCGUAACGAAUGCAACAACGUUCGGAAGAAAAAUGAAUCGGCGGAACGGAAGAAUGAAUUUUUAUUUAUCGGUAACCGGAAAACAAUUUUACAAUGGACGGCGAGAUUUGUGUCAAGACGAAAAUAUAUUUUCCUCGUGAGUUUCGAAAUUGAUCCUGCUGUGGUUAAAAGAGAAAACAAUGAUUCCAUUACAUUCCCUCGAGAUAAAGAAGAAACGAUGAUACUCAAAGGUUUUAGCCUAUUGGAAUUGUCACUUUCUGUAGGCAAAUCCCUACUGAUAGAGAUUGAGUAGUACUAUUGACACAGUAUUUUCGCUUACAAUGCACUCUUGCUAGAAAAAAAAAGGUAUAAAGAUGAAACAGAGGUACAAAGUGAUUUUUACAUAUAUAUAAGAAUAAUGAACAUAGAAAACAUAUUUGAAAUUAAACUUCAGACUCUUAUCUUUAUAUUAAUUCCAAUAUUUUGCAAAUUUUUAUUUUUCAUAUCGAUAAUAACUAUUAAUAACAUGAAAUAUAUAAAUUUUACAACAUAACAAAAUUUUAAAAUUAUAUCUCCAUUUUUUUAUUAAAUAUCAAUUAACUUCAAUGGCAACAAGAAUUUUUAAUUGAAAUAAAUUUCCGUUCUAAAUUUCUAAUUUACAAAAUAAUAUAAAUUAUCUUUCCAAGAAAUUUCUUUUCAAUAUUGCAGCUCGUCCACAAAGACGAAUGCGUUACGAAUACAACACAACGUGAAAAUACAUACAUUCUCGAAUUAAAAGUACGAAAAGUUAAAGAAGACGGAUAUGCACACGAGAGAGGUGUACACGCAAAAAUGUUCCCCGGCAUAAUGUUAACACAUGUAUCAUUCAUGAUUCAUAAAUAAGACGACAGCACGAUUUUCUACCUAACUCGAUUCGCAAACGAUUCGAAUUGACAAACACUUGGUGUUACGCCGCGGCUGCUAACCCUCGGAUUUCCCAGACGAAGCGAAACAACUUGUGCCAAAUACAGUUUAACACCGCUUGCAUCCCAAUAGGCGAGCGCUCUUGAAAUAUUCCACACCGUGUGCUCUCUGCAUGGACGUUGUAUUUUUGCAGAUCGCCUCCCCUUUUUAAAAUUUUCCCCUCCCCCAUCGUGAUCUCGAUACAAGGCAAAUAUUUUCGCGUCUAACGAAAUAUAUAUCCCUCCCCUCCUUUCCUUCCGCUCCGCCGGUGGUCUGAUUUUCAUCGAAACAAUCGGAACGGGAUAAUUUAAUUUUCUUUUCGCUCGAUGCGAAAACGAGAGACUCCUUCGUGGAACGCGUGUUGCGAAGAGGGAGGUUGUGUUCUAUUUGUUUGCUCGGUUAAUAACACGAGGUUUCGUUCGAUAGCUUCGAUAUUUUUCCUUUGAUUCCAUUGCUCGAUUCAGAUUUUCAGAUACUGGAAACCCUCUAAAAACAAUAUCGCGUUUCGAGGCUUAUUAUAAAAUUUAUUAGAAAAUAAUAAUAGGAAUAAGAAAAGUGAAUUUUUUUUUCUUUUUAGAAAUUCGCUUCGAAGAUAUUUCGACAGGAUUGGUCGAUAUAAUUUGAAAAUUUUGAAAAAAGCGGAAUCUUGAAUUUUGUUUUUAAAAUAAAAUGUCGAAGGAAAGAGCGAAGAGCGGAAGAGGGAAGGAGAAAAGGAAAGCGGAGCGCGUAAGGGGAAACGGGCAAUUUAUGGUCAGACGCAGUUUAUGUUAUCUUCUCUUUUUUAUACCGUUUAUGAUCUAUGAUUAUAAACAAGUUUAAAAUAAUAUAUGUUGGACGAUAAUUUGGUAAACAACCGCAAUCUCUUUUUAAACAAAAUAUUUAUUUGGCUCAACUUUCGAAUCGAGUCGCUUACUUAACCAAUAUUUAAAAAAUUCCAACAAUUUGCAUCAGAAAUUAUAUAUUAAACCCAAGAUAUCCCUGUUAUUGCCCUCUUCGUUCUUUCAAAUUAUUCCAAAAAUGCGUGUUAAUAAAAAUUGAUACAGAUAUUUCUGACAUAUUUAUAGCAUCUGUGUAACAUCUUUGAGGUAAUAAAUUACUCGUAAGGCUUAAAUUUAAAUCCAGAGAAAUAUAGGCAAUAAAUUUUCCAAAACUUGUAUCGUAACGUAAUGCUUUAUUACAAUUAAAAAAAUAAAAUUUGUACUCCUCCCGAUCCUAAUUCGAUUACCACACACGAGCGCACACGUGCCUGAAACAAAAAUAUCACACAAAACGAAUACAGAGCACAGAGGGACGCAAAUAUGUUUAUCAUCGAAUUUAUCUCAACACGUAUAGAUGCCAAGAAUUUACGAUACUCCACGCACUUUUAAAUCUUCCACCCCAUUCCCUCCGGAUCGUUCAACGAAUCACUUCGACGGAAAAUCCUCUAGUUUUCCCCAUCCUGUUCGUCCCCGCAUAACAUCGUUCUAAGGCUAGACGAUCUGAAAACACGAGUCGAGAUUAUAUUAUUCGAAAAAAAAGUGGAGAAAAGUAGCGAAAAAUGUAGGAUCCGCGGAGCUGACCCAAUUGGAACGAUUGGAUGAAGGGGAGGGGAAGAGGAUCGUUAAUAAAACGUUUAGGUGACAUGCCUGACGGUCCACGUCGGACAAGGUUAAGCGGCGACCCUCGAACUUAUAAAUAACCGCGAAACAUUCCCUCACGGAGCAACGCGCUGACUUGGAGAGCGUGGUGGAUCGGCAUCGAGCCGAUGUAGACGCCGCCACGAUCAAAUUGGGAGGCGUUAAUUGGGUCGAGACGGACGUUUCCACUUGAUACGCUCCGUGUUUUCCAACUCUGACGCGCGUACGCCUCGAUCGACGAGGAUACAGAUGUGACGUUUUUGCGAGGGAUGGAAUAACGUUUUUUCGACGAGAAAUUUCGAACGAGUCCGGUGAGAAUUUGUGAAUUCGUUGAAAGAAACAUUUUCUGCGUAAAAAAUAAAAAUAAUUGCGCCCUCGAAUGAAAUCGAAAGAAGUGCUUUGGAAACGAUGCAGCGUUUUUGAGGAACCAUCCAGCAGGAAACUUUUCUAUUAAAGUUUUCAAUAUUAUUACUCGUAUUUUCUUGCAACUUAAGAGUUUUUUUUUAACUUGUAUAUUUUCAGAAUGAUAGAAGUAAUAGGAAACUAUGAUUGGAUAAAAAUUCGAGAAUUUUUCGUUUCGAGUUUCCGGCUAUGUAUGAAAGUACGAUCUUAGGCACGAUUUUAGAGAUAUAAAAGGUACUUCAAAAAAACGAAAUCAGUAGUUUCGAGUAAAUUUGGAUCGAGCAUUUUUAUACAGACAUUCUUUCUGUGCAAUCAUUUUUCUUCGAAAUUGCGUCACACAAAAAUCUACAAAAUGAAUUAUAAAAAAAGUUUAGAAACUUUUGAUUGUUGAUAAAAUUGAUGCAUAAUUAAACCGAACUUCUUCAACAAGGAUAAUAACUAGGAAGGUCUUCCAAACUUUGAACAACUCUAUAAACGAUAGUGAAUGACCUCGAAAAAUCCACGCAGCAUAGGUCAGAGAACUCGUCUUCGAGAGGAUUACACGCAUGCAUAGUUAAAAACACGUGUAUAUAGUUCAUUGCCUUCGAAUUUCGAAACUUCCCUCAUCCAGAAGAAAAAUUAUACUCAAAAACAAAUAUUCCUCUCGAGAUAGAAUAAAUCUUCAACCCUUUAUUUAUAUAUUGAAUUAUUUUUAUAAAAUCGAGCUCAAUAUUUUCUCUUAAAAAAAACAAUGAAAAUUAAAAGACGCCAAAAAAUUUUCAAAACAUCGAAAUAUCAAAUAUCGAUUUUAACAAUUGUACCAGAAGAGAAGGGAAAAAAAUGGCCGAAUUUCAACGGACAUGAUCCCAGUUAACAAAUGUUCUUUUUUUUUUUUCAAAAAUUAUCUUUAAUGCCAAACAGGCGUGAAACGUGCGAAUUGAUGGUUAACAAAUUCCAAUUAACGAUAAACGACGAGAAUCAAUUUAUCUUUCGGCAAAGCUUUUACGCGUGUAACAAAAAUCAUUUUCGAUCGACAACGUGACGUGGAUUAUCGAAAUUUUCGGUUUUAACACGGAUCGUUAAAUGUGUGUAAAGUAUGAAAAUUGAGACGAGGAUUUGAUAGACGCGUAACAUUGUCAAAAAUAAACUGUAAGUGGCAAGAUGCAACUUCCUGUUUGAGUUACGUAAGCGGCAAGCUUGUCUUCAUUCAUUAGCUGUUGCGCUAACAAUAAGUCGAAGUGUUCAAAGUCAAUAGUAUUUUUAACUUUAUUGUGUGCGUGUGAAAAUCAGUGGACAUUAUUUUUCUAUUUAUAGCGUAUUUCGAUGAUUCCAUAUUUUUCCCCUUUUUCUUUCUUUUUAUACCAACGCGAUGUUUAUUCUAUAUUGAAAGAUAAUAUAAAAAAAAUUAUUUAUUUUCUUGAAAUGUCAAUUUUUAAAUUUCGAAAGUAAUAUAUUGUAUAUUUUUUUUCUUAUUAAUAUUUAAUAUUUUGAACUUCGAUAAAUAUUUUGUAAUGUUACAUUUUAAUGUUUAUUCAUUAUUAUUUUGGUUUGCAAAGUUCUUCUCGGAAAUAUAUGUCUGCAACUUGAGAAUAUAUUGCAUAAGCAUAUUAUAAAUAUUUAUGGAUCUUUAGAAAAUAAAUUGAAUAAUUUGGUUAA